Molecule: ribosomal RNA, 329 nt
Filed under: uncultured eukaryote
Lineage: Eukaryota
Description: partial 18S ribosomal RNA
Rfam family: Eukaryotic small subunit ribosomal RNA
Source: RNAcentral
CCCUUAGAUGUUCUGGGCCGCACGCGCGCUACACUGACGAUGGCAACGAGUUUUUCCUUCGCCGAAAGGUGUGGGUAAUCUUUUGAAACAUCGUCGUGCUGGGGAUAGAUCAUUGCAAUUUUUGAUCUUGAACGAGGAAUUCCUAGUAAGCGCGAGUCAUCAGCUCGCGUUGAUUACGUCCCUGCCCUUUGUACACACCGCCCGUCGCUACUACCGAUUGAAUGGUUUAGUGAGGACUCCUGAUUGGCGCCGCCGCCCCGGCAACGGAGCAGCGGACUGCCGAAAAGUUGUUCAAACUUGAUCAUUUAGCGGAAGUAAAAGUCGUAACA